Molecule: ribosomal RNA, 80 nt
Filed under: Leontynka pallida
Lineage: Eukaryota; Viridiplantae; Chlorophyta; Chlorophyceae; Chlamydomonadales
Description: large subunit ribosomal RNA
Rfam family: Bacterial large subunit ribosomal RNA
Source: RNAcentral
CUCAGCAAAUACAAUCGGCAGAUUGGCUUGGAAGCAGCCACACUCCAUGGAAAGCGUAAUAGCUCACCGAUUUAGCUGAG